RNAcentral lists this ribosomal RNA (377 nucleotides) under uncultured bacterium. RNAcentral describes it as "bacterial SSU rRNA". It matches the Rfam family "Bacterial small subunit ribosomal RNA", at positions 521 to 896 of the family's 1533-position model. The record is from RNAcentral.
UAAUACGUAGGUGACAAGCGUUGUCCGGAUUUACUGGGCGUAAAGAGCGCGCAGGCGGUCGAUCAAGUCGAGUGUGAAAGCCCCCGGCUCAACUGGGGAGGGUCAUUCGAUACUGAUCGACUCGAAGGCAGGAGAGGGUAGUGGAAUUCCCGGUGUAGUGGUGAAAUGCGUAGAUAUCGGGAGGAACACCAGUGGCGAAGGCGACUACCUGGCCUGUUCUUGACGCUGAGGCGCGAAAGCUAGGGGAGCAAACGGGAUUAGAUACCCCGGUAGUCCUAGCCCUAAACGAUGAAUGCUUGGUGUGGCGGGUAUCGAUCCCUGCCGUGCCGAAGCUAACGCAUUAAGCAUUCCGCCUGGGGAGUACGGUCGCAAGGCUG